This 253-nucleotide ribosomal RNA is filed under the name uncultured bacterium. RNAcentral's name for it is "partial 16S ribosomal RNA". It matches the Rfam family "Bacterial small subunit ribosomal RNA", at positions 524 to 776 of the family's 1533-position model. The record is from RNAcentral.
GACGUAGGGCGCGAGCGUUGUCCGGAUUUAUUGGGCGUAAAGAGCUCGUAGGCGGCUUGUCGCGUCGACUGUGAAAUCCCGCGGCUCAACUGCGGGUCUGCAGUCGAUACGGGCAGGCUAGAGUUCGGUAGGGGAGACUGGAAUUCCUGGUGUAGCGGUGAAAUGCGCAGAUAUCAGGAGGAACACCGAUGGCGAAGGCAGGUCUCUGGGCAACAACUGACGCUGAGGAGCGAAAGCGUGGGGAGCGAACAGG